This 46-nucleotide non-coding RNA is filed under the name Schistosoma curassoni. The record is from RNAcentral. Lineage: Eukaryota; Metazoa; Platyhelminthes; Trematoda; Strigeidida; Schistosomatidae.
GCACUAAUGAGGAGUCCCACAACAGGAUGAAACGGCUGUCCAGUGC